GUUUAAAAAAAAAAUCCGUUUUCUAAAGAAAUUCAUAGAACGGCUCGUUUGGAAUACAGCGUUUGUUUUCCGGGCUUUGUGAUAUCACAAAGCGGCUCAUUAGAAUAUCAU
Molecule: long non-coding RNA, 111 nt
Organism: Sinocyclocheilus grahami
Lineage: Eukaryota; Metazoa; Chordata; Actinopteri; Cypriniformes; Cyprinidae
Exons: 2
Source: RefSeq, a predicted model, not a curated record